This 433-nucleotide ribosomal RNA is filed under the name uncultured bacterium. Its description in RNAcentral is "partial 16S ribosomal RNA". It matches the Rfam family "Bacterial small subunit ribosomal RNA", at positions 29 to 507 of the family's 1533-position model. The record is from RNAcentral.
AACGAACGCUGGCGGCAUGCCUAACACAUGCAAGUCGAACGAGACCUUCGGGUCUAGUGGCGCACGGGUGCGUAACACGUGGGAAUCUGCCCUUUGCUUCGGAAUAACAGUUAGAAAUGACUGCUAAUACCGGAUGAUGUCGAAAGACCAAAGAUUUAUCGGCAUAGGAUGAGCCCGCGUAGGAUUAGGUAGUUGGUGGGGUAAAGGCCUACCAAGCCGACGAUCCUUAGCUGGUCUGAGAGGAUGAUCAGCCACACUGGGACUGAGACACGGCCCAGACUCCUACGGGAGGCAGCAGUGGGGAAUAUUGGACAAUGGGCGAAAGCCUGAUCCAGCAAUGCCGCGUGAGUGAUGAAGGCCUUAGGGUUGUAAAGCUCUUUUACCAGGGAUGAUAAUGACAGUACCUGGAGAAUAAGCUCCGGCUAACUCCGUG